Molecule: long non-coding RNA, 130 nt
Organism: Bradysia coprophila
Lineage: Eukaryota; Metazoa; Arthropoda; Insecta; Diptera; Sciaridae
Source: RefSeq, a predicted model, not a curated record
AAGAAUAGUUAUUUGCAUCACUUGGAUUGAAACCACGAAAUUACAGUAUACGUGUGAAUUCGUAUACCGAGAGAAUAAUUUUUGCAUAAGUAUGUAUGUUUCGUCGAGACGAAGCCGAACAUACAAACGA